This 580-nucleotide long non-coding RNA is filed under the name Mus spicilegus (steppe mouse). Its description in RNAcentral is "lncRNA (ENSMSIG00000018997.1)". The record is from RNAcentral. Lineage: Eukaryota; Metazoa; Chordata; Mammalia; Rodentia; Muridae.
AGAUUUGGUAUAGUUAUGAAAAGAAUGACCACAUGCAGGAGAUUCUAAAGAGCCCCAUUGCGUUCCCCAGGUGAAACUGUUUGAGCAUCUUUUACCUUCAGGGAAUCAGAGUCCUGGGAUCUGGGGUGCACUACAACUAUGGUGAGCCCAGGUGUGAUGGAGCCUAGCUAGAAUCAAGGCAAGCAAGCGUCCACGCCCAGUCUGAGUUGCUCCGUGCCAAACAAGCCUGUCACUCUGCAAAGCCUUUUCACCAAGGACUUAGAAAGAGGGUCAUCUGCUGUCUACGCUAUUAUGCAAACCAGGGUGAUGCGGUCCAUCUGCCCCAAAGCUCUGGGAAUUCUGGGAAUGAAGACACAUCAAUUUUUUUUUUAUUGCAUUUGUGCAUUUGGACCACUGUGAACGAGCUAUCUCCAAAGAGCUGUUCUUGGAAACGUUAGGAAGAACGUGUUUCCCUCUUUUCCCCUGAGUGUGUUGUUAAGCUGGCUUUCCGCCUUCCUUCACCUUCUUUGGAAAGCUAUUCUGGGAGCUUCAUUAGGAAGUGUGGUGAGUGGUCUGAAAAUGAAGGGAACCAGAAAACCCC